Molecule: ribosomal RNA, 1359 nt
Filed under: gut metagenome
Description: bacterial LSU rRNA
Rfam family: Bacterial large subunit ribosomal RNA
Source: RNAcentral
CGGAGCCGAAGCGAGAGCGAGUCUGAAUAGGGCGGAAGUCUCUGGGAUUAGACCCGAAACCACAGUGAUCUAUGCAUGGCCAGGUUGAAGCUCAGGUAAAAAUGAGUGGAGGACCGAACCCGUGAGUGUUGAAAAACUUUGGGAUGAGCUGUGCAUAGGGGUGAAAUGCCAAUCGAACGUGGAGAUAGCUGGUUCUCCCCGAAAUAGCUUUAGGGCUAGCCUCAGGUAACACAUGGAGACGGUAGAGCACUGAUCGGGUAAGGGAGCGUAAAGCUUACCGAGCCUAGUCAAACUGCGAAUGGCUUCAUGAGAAGAGCCUGGGAGUCAGAAUGCGAGUGAUAAGACCCGUAUUCAAAAGGGAAACAGCCCAGACCGCCGACUAAGGUCCCGAAUGCUGUACUAAGUGGAAAAGGAUGUAGGACUUCCAAAACAACCAGGAUGUUGGCUCAGAAGCAGCCACCAUUCAAAGAGUGCGUAAUAGCUCACUGGUCGAGAGGCCCUGCGCCGAAAAUAUCCGGGGCUCAAGUACAGAACCGAAGUCGCGGCAUGCGCAAGCAUGGGUAGGGGAGCGUUCCAAGUUGGUUGAAGGCGGACCAUAAGGACAGCUGGACGACUUGGAAGUGAGAAUGCUGGUAUGAGUAGCGAAACGAUCCGUGAGAAUCGGAUCCACCGAAAGCCUAAGGGAUCCUGAGCAACGCUCGUCGACUCAGGGUAAGUCGGGACCUAAGCCGAGGCAUAAAGCAUAGGCGAUGGACAACAGGCGAAAAUUCCUGUACUGCAUGAUGUUGUUUGAGGAUGGAGUGACACAGCAAGGAGCUUGAGCGCGCGACUGGAAAUGCGCGUCGAAGGCGGUAGGCUGUAGGAGAGGCAAAUCCCUCCUGCAAGGCCGAGAACUGAUAGAUAGGAGCGUACUUCGGUACAAUCCAAAUUCAAGCGUACUACACUGUCGAGAAAAGCUUCUAACGAGACAUCAUGUACCCGUACCAAAACCGACACAGGUAGGCGGGGAGAGAAUCCUAAGGUGCGCGGGAAAACCCUCGUUAAGGAACUCGGCAAAAUGCAUCCGUAACUUCGGGAGAAGGAUGGCCGGAGCUGGUGAAGACCUUGCGGUUGGAGCUGGAGCCGGCGGCAGAAGAGAAGCCCAAGCGACUGUUUACCACAAACACAGGUGCCUGCUAAAGAGAAAUCUGACGUAUAGGUGCUGACACCUGCCCGGUGCUGGAAGGUUAAGAGGAGAGGUUAUUCGCAAGAAGAAGCUUUGAAUUGAAGCCCCAGUAAACGGCGGCCGUAACUAUAACGGUCCUAAGGUAGCGAAAUUCCUUGUCGGGUAAGUUCCGACCCGCACGAAAGGUGUAACGA